GGCCAGGUGGCGGAGUGGUUAACGCGGUAGACUCGAAAAUUUCUGUCUGACAGGAAUUCGUGCAAUCUACUUCCUUCGGGAGCGUCUGUUCGAAUCAGGCCCUGGUCG
Non-coding RNA from Xylaria curta, 108 nucleotides. Lineage: Eukaryota; Fungi; Ascomycota; Sordariomycetes; Xylariales; Xylariaceae. The record is from the annotation of a GenBank genome assembly.